This 497-nucleotide ribosomal RNA is filed under the name uncultured bacterium. RNAcentral describes it as "partial 16S ribosomal RNA". It matches the Rfam family "Bacterial small subunit ribosomal RNA", at positions 28 to 507 of the family's 1533-position model. The record is from RNAcentral.
GAUGAACGCUGGCGGCGUGCCUAAUACAUGCAAGUCGAGCGAACAGACGAGGAGCUUGCUCCUUUGACGUUAGCGGCGGACGGGUGAGUAACACGUAGGUAACCUACCUAUAAGACUGGGGUAACUUCGGGAAACCGGAGCUAAUACCGGAUAAUAUUUCGAACCGCAUGGUUCGAUAGUGAAAGAUGGCUUUGCUAUCACUUAUAGAUGGACCUGCGCCGUAUUAGCUAGUUGGUAAGGUAACGGCUUACCAAGGCAACGAUACGUAGCCGACCUGAGAGGGUGAUCGGCCACACUGGAACUGAGACACGGUCCAGACUCCUACGGGAGGCAGCAGUAGGGAAUCUUCCGCAAUGGGCGAAAGCCUGACGGAGCAACGCCGCGUGAGUGAUGAAGGUCUUCGGAUCGUAAAACUCUGUUAUUAGGGAAGAACAAACGUGUAAGUAACUGUGCACGUCUUGACGGUACCUAAUCAGAAAGCCACGGCUAACUACGUG